UAUGGACGUAAAACAGUCUCGAUUCUUGGUUAAAAGCAAAGAAACCGUGCAGUUACUGUUUAUCAUAUGUAAAUAUGUGCAAGUACAAUGCUACUCUGUUAGCGAAUGAGGCUAGCGGCCGCUUGAUGUAAGCAGAGCUUUUCUGGAGAAAAUUCUUGUGAAUAAAUGCUUAAAUUUCCGAAUUCUUCAUGGAUAUGGACAUAAAACAGUCUCGAUUCUUGGUUGAAAGCAAAACAAAAAACAAAACAAAAAAACAUUAAGCGUUUAUUUUAUGUAAAUAUGGCGAACUUUGAUGCCAAUGCAGUAGCGGCUGAUUUCUUCCAUAGAUUUUUUUCACGUUUAAAAUGCAUGCAUGGUACAAAAAAUAUAAUAUUUACCUUGAAUCGUCGAACAAAUCACCCCUUCCUGUUUGUAUGCGGUACAGCUUUCGUACAAAAGUUCAAGCUUAAAACCAGCUUGGACAUGAGCGUGUGCCGUCUUUGGCUGACUAAAUGAAGCGAUGCAAAGAAUGACGAAGUGUCACGUCAAUGGUUAUGAAGGCUAUGGCUAGUGUUAUGUCCCUAUGCAAAUCUAUACCCUUGGUUACUACCCACCUCUGGAACUGAGCCAUAUUAAAAUAAAGCAGAAUAUAGCAUAUGGGUCAUGAGAUUUUGCAGGUGUUCCUAACACAUCUAACAUUUUGUAGUGUAUUUUUCCCCCCAAUGUGUGCCAGUGUGAAAUGUAACAGUAGCUACAGUACACAUGUAUCGCCCACACACUCCCACGUGUUUCCCCUGCAUGCUCCCUUCACAUGUACGCGCAUGACAGCAUUGAAGAGGUGCUUUAAAAAAUCAGCGCGUAGGCUAGAAGUGCGUUAAUGUGUGCGUGGGUACAUGAAAAAAAAAUAGAAGCUCCGGAGUUGUGGGUCCGCGCUGGCUGCGUGUAUGCCUUGCCCCAGGCACUCUGCCGGUCCCGGGCCGAGGCCGGUCCGCCACCCACGCUGGGGUACGGCCGGGGUUGAGCUGAAGAGUAGGAGGAAAAGAGGAGGAGGUGUGCGCUUGUAGUGCUGGUGUUGUUGUUGUUGAGUGGGCUGCCGCUUGUGAGUCAGCCUGCUGCGCACCCCCAAAUGAGAGGACGUUGCUAGAUGGCUAUUUGGAGGAAGUACUUGUGGAAAAGAACUCUCAUUUUCCCAUUUGUGUCGCCUCAGAAGUGUCCGCGCAUUCCCCAGAAUGCAAAUGCCAAGAUUUGACGUCAUUCUUCCGUGACUAGGAAGUCGCACUAGAAGCGUUCCAUUCAGCAGCUAAUCAAAACUAGUCGAGUCCUACGGAAGUCAAUUUUGUACCGCCGGAGUUUGAAUUUUUUUACAAUGAAUUUUAUUCGGCAUCGAAAUUCAAACACAAAAAUUUUUUUCAGCUUCAAAAUUCAUUUGGAGAAAAAAACUGCUGCAAAACUUCGAUUAGCGUAUUUUCCACAUGCACGUUCAAUUAAUAGACCUAUUUUAAAACUGUUUUCAUAUGAAGGGCGCACUGCAUUAUAAGGCGCAGUGGUAAUAGUAGUAGUAGUGGUUGGGGUUGCGUUGCACAUCCACGAGAUGGAGUUGCUUUAAAGGGAAUGCCAUGCCAUUAUUAACUAAUAUUGAACCAUAUAUAAGGCACGUGAGAUUAUAAGGCGACCUAUUUUUAUUUUGAGAAAAUGGAAGGCUUUUAGGUGCACCUCAUAGUGCGGAAGCUUUGGUAGUUGGAAUUACAAGUUACAAGCAAUUCGGUCGCAAAAUGAGUUGCAAAAAUUGAGUUGCAAAUAUUUGAAUUAUGUUUAAUUGGAAUUUUUUCAGCGUCAAAAUUCAGCCGCAAAAAAAAAAUUGGUCACAAAACUUCAGUCGCAGAAUUUUUUUUUUUUUUUUUUAAGCAUCAAAAUUGAUUUUGGGCAUAAAAACUGCUGCAAAAAUUCAAUUACAUAGAAUUCAGUUGCAAAAUUUCCCGCCUAAAAAAUAAUGUUCCAAGGCAAAAAAUUCAGUCGCAAAACUUCAGUAGCAAAAAUUUGAAUUUUAUGUGAUUGGAAUUUUUUUUUCAGCUUCGUAAUUUAGCCGCAAAAAAAUUCAGUCAGAAAACUUCAGAAGAAAAAAUGAAACAUUUUUAUUUAUUUUAUUUUUUUAUUUAUUCAUUUAUUUAAUUUUUUUGAAAUCGAAAUUCAGUUGGGGCUAAAAACUGCUACAAAAAUUCAAUUACAUGGAAUCCGUUCGCAAAAUUUCACUCCUAAAAAAUUAGGUUCAGAGAAAUUCGGUUGCAAAAAAGUUAGUCGCAAAACUUCAGUAGCAAAAAAUUUGAAUUUUAUGUGAUUGGAAUUUUUUUUUCAGCUUCAAAAUUGAGCCGCAAAAAAAUGCAGUCACAAAACAGAAGAAAAAAUUAAAUAUUUUUGUUUUAUUUAUUUAUUUAUUUAUUUAUUCAUUUAUUUAAUUUUAUUAGAAUCGAAAAUCAAUUGGGGCAAAAAACUGCUACAAAAAUUCAAUUACAUGGAAUUCGGUCGCAAAAUUUCACUCCUAAAAAAUUAGGUUCAGAGAAAUUCGGUUGCAAAAAAUUUGGUCGCAAAAAUUUGAAUUUUGAAAAUUCAAUUGGAAAAAACGGCUGCAAAAAUUCAAUUACCGGUACAUGGAAUUUAGUCGGAAAAUUUCACUUAAAAAAAAAAAUUCAGUUAAAAGCAAUUCGGUCACAAAAAAAUUGGAUUUUUUUUUUUCCAGCUUUAAAAUUCAGGGGCAAAAAAUUCAGUCACAAAACUUUGGUAGCAAAUAUAUUUAAAUUAAACUUAUUCAGCAUCGAAAUUUGAACGCUGAAUUUUUUUUCAGCUUCAAAAUCCAUCCGUAAAUAAUACAGUCAAAAAACUUCACUUCAAAAUUCACUCCCAAAAAAUUAAGUUUCAAGGAAAUCAGUCGCAAAAAAAAAAUUCAGACACAAAAAUUUUGUUACAAGGAAUUGCAUGGCAAAAAAACAAAAAAAUCAGUUGAAAACGGAAAUCGAUUUCUUCUCCCUGGUUGAGUGAAUUUUUUCAAACUUAAUUUUGACACUGAAAAGUGUUAGGAUUCAAACACUGAAAAACUGUGUGUUAAGAAAUUCCGAUCCAAACUGUUGCGAUUUCCGGUAUUGCGUUGUUAAUAUUGUACUUUGUGUGUUUUAACAGCAAAUUUGGACACUUAUUCAUUGCCACCUCUCGCCUCGUUCUUGACACUCCGCAGAUUGUCAUAAAAACAACCUCAAAUAGGGUUUAUCACCAUUUAUUGACAGUCCAACGUUGUGCCCUUUGACUGGGUACAAUUAGUUUAUUUGAUGCUGAUUCUUUAUCGUCUGUGCGAGCAGUGGCGGCACAAUUUUUUGACAGUUCUGCUGAAAACACUCGAUCCUUUUCUUACAUUUAAUAACCCUCGGUCUGGAAGAAAAACUUCAGGCAAAAGAAUCUGGCGCGCUUGCUCACAUGUCGCGAUGGAGCGUGCAUUUCUAUACAAAGGCGCAAGCGAUCGGCAAUGACAUCAGGGGGACUAGCCGUGCCGGGUCGACGCGCUAAGCUAAUUUCACAAGUCGUUUCACCUCCUGCGCACCCUCGACGUGACUUUCAUGUGAGGUAGAAACAAGUGUGGCUCUGUUAAGACUGCUUAGGAUAAGUGACAAUGCACAUGGGAGAUAAAACUUCAACAUAAGAGCAUAGAAACCUUUUGAAUUUUGUGUCUGUGUUGCCACCAAAAGGAUGAUACGCCAAUUAUUUUUCCCACCAAAAUCAGUCCUUCAAUUCAUUCAUUCACUUUAUUUAAAAAAUUCGGUACUAUUUUACUGGGCAUUGCAAAAUAGGUGCAGGCAGGUAGUCUCCGGGUUCCAUUCCUCUUCCACGUAAAUCAUAAUUAGCCCUUUAAGUACCCCUAAGGACCCCCUAAAUCUCAAAAUAACUACCGUAAUUUUCGGACUAUAAGCAUAUAGUUCAGUGUGUCUUAUUUGUUGAUUUACAGGUAGUCCCAGGGUUAUGAACGAGUUCUGUUCCUAUUCCGUGUAAAUCGGAAUUAACUCUUUAAGUACCCCUAAGAACCCCCUAAAUCUCAACAUAACUACCGUAAUUUUCGGACUAAAAGCAUAUAGUCCAGUGUGGCUUAUUUGUUGAUUUACAGGUAGUCCCCGGAUUAUGAACGAGUUCCAUUCCUACGCUGGCGACGUAAGACGAAUUACCGCGUAAGUUGGAAUGUAGCCCAAAAUAACUAUCCAAAAAGUCCAAAAGUAUUGUAUUUUGUAUAAUGAUGGAGGAUACACUGCCCUCUGGUGAUAGCAUAGGGUCUGGCUGGACUGUCAGAGUCUGAUGUCUGACAUGGAUAAAGGAUAGCUGUGCUCUAGUUUAGCCCACAUAAGGCUGUAAGUUGUUUCCACUAAUAUAGGUUUGUGUACGCAUUUGUAAUUAAGUUUACAGCUGCAGUUUGUGGAGUUACAUGUGAGCGAUUUGCUAUGAGAAUUGUAAAUACGUUAGCAUUUGUAGCAUUUAGGCUAAUUCAAGAGCCUUGAGUUUGAAAUCUGCAUUGUAAGGGUGUCUCGUGAAAGGAGCCAUUUUGGGUUCUCAACACAAAUUUUACCGCUUCUCACCACUGUUAUUAACACUAACCAUCCAUAUGCAGAUAGUCCCAGGGUUAUGAAUGACUUCCUUCCCUACGCUGGCGACGUAACCAGAUAUUCCGCGUCAGUCAGGAAUUAACCCCGAUAAAGGAUAGCUGCGCUCUAUUUUGGCCCACAUAAGACUGUAAGUUGUUUCCGCUAAUAUAUGUUUGUGUAUGCAUUUGUAAUUAAGUUUACUGCUACAGUUUGUGGAGUUACUGUACGUGUGAGCUAUUUAGUAUGAUAAGAGUAAAAACGUUAGCAUUCGUAGCAUUUAGGCUAGUUCAAUAGCCUUGAGCUUGAACUCUGCAUUGUAAGGGUGUCUCUUGAAAGGAGCCAUUUUGGGUUUUUCACUAAAACUUUACAUUAAUCUUUACCACUUCUUACUGCAGUUAGUAACCCUAACCAUCCACAUUCAGGUAGUCCCUGGGUUACGAAUGAGUUCCAUUGCUACGCUGGCAAUGUAACUGUCAGGGAAACGCAUGCAGGCAGGUGGACCCAAAUGCAGGGAAAGGGAGGCGAGGCACAUGAAUAGUGCAAAAAUGAUUUAAUUAAAGCCAACAAAAAACAAAGUACAAAACAAAGGCUGUGGUGAUCCCAAGAAAGCACAGAGGCAAACAAAAUUGUCACUAACAAAAGACUGGUUUUCAAAAAACUUAUUUGGAACACGAGAGCUUGGAUAGACAUCGACUUUGACAUUGACAUAGACAAUGACGAAACAAGGAGUGAAAAGAAAAUAGGAGCUUAUAUACACACAUGCAGACAAGAGGUAACGAGAACGAGGAACGGCUGGGCAACACAUGAGGAUGCAGGUUGGAGAAUACACUAGGAGCAGGCACAACAGGUGAAAUCAAUGGGCAAUCACAGGGACAAGUCACACAAAGGGAAAACCAACACAAAACCUAACAGUAACCAGAUAUUCCGCGUCAGUCAGGAAUUAACCCUAAUAAAGGAUAGCGGCGCUCUGUUUUGGCCCACAUAAGGCUGUAAGUUGUUUCCGCUAAUAUAUGUUUGUGUAUGCAUUUGUAAUUUAGUUUACAGCUACAGUUUGUGGAGUUACGUGUGAACUAUUUGGUAUGAUAACUAUAAAAAUGUUAGCAUUCGUACCAUUUAGGCUAGUUCAAUAGCCUUUAGCUUGAACUCUGCAUUGUAAGGGUUUCUCUUUAAAGGAGCCAUUUGGGGUUUUUGACACAAACUUUACAUUAAUCUUUACCACUCCUUACCACAGUUAUUAACCCUAACCAUUCAUAUACAGAUAGUCCCCAGGUUACAAACGAGUUCCGUUCAUACGCUGGUGACGUAACCAGAUAUUUCGCGUCAGUCGGGAUUCACCUUAAGAAAGGAUAGCUGCGCUCUGUUUUGGCCCAUAUAAGGCUGUAAGUUUUUUCCGCUAAUAUAUGUUUUUUUAUGCAUUUGUAAUUAAGUUUACAGCUACAGUUUGUGGAGUUACGUGGGAGCUAUUUAGUAUGAUAAUUGUAAAAACGUUACCAUUUGUACCAUUUAGCCUGGUUCAGUAGCCUUGAGCUUGAACUCUGCAUUGUAAAGGUGUCUCUUUAAAGGAGCCAUUUUGAAUUUUUAACACAAACUUUACAUUAAUCUUUACCACACCUUACCACAGUUAUUAACCCUAACCAUUCAUAUACAGAUAGUCCCCGGGUUACAAACAAGUUCCGUUCCUACGCUGGUGACGUAACCAGAUAUUUUGCGUCAGUCGGGAUUCACCUUAAGAAAGGAUAGCUGCGCAGUUUUUUCCGCAAAUAUAUGUUUUUGUAUGCAUUUGUAAUUAAGUUUACAGUUACAGUUUGUGGAGUUACUUGUGAGCGAUUUGCUAUUAGAAUUGUAAAUACGUUAGCAUUCAUAGCAUUUAAGCUAGCAGACUUUUGUUAGGCAAAUUAGGGUAUUUUAAUCAAUUUUAAUUGACACAUUGAUCAGACUAGAUGGGCAUUUGAACACUAAUUGUUUUGUGUCAAGUGUUUUAUUGUUAAAAUGCGUGUCGUUUUGAGCAUAAGUGUCCAUAUCUGUUACGGCUUUACAAAUUGUCAAAAGUGAAGGAAGUCAACAGCUUCAAAAAGCACAAUUGUCUUGUUUGCUGUCUGUCAAGCUGAACAACUUCACGUUUAGUGACGACAGAACAUGUCAUGUUAAUAAAGUAGGGCUGUCAAACGAUUAAAAUUUUUAAUCGAGUUAAUUACAGCUUAAAAAUUAAUUAAUCGUAAUUAAUUGCAAUUCAAACCAUCUAUAAAAUAUGCCAUAUUUUUCUGUAAAAAUUAUUGUUGGAAUAGAAAGAUAAGAAAAGAGAUGGAUAUAUACAUUCAACAUACGGUACAUAGGGACUGUAUUUGUUUAUUAUAGUAAUAAAUCAGCAAGAUGGCAUUAACAUUAUUAACAUUCUGUUAAAGUGAUCCACGGAUAGAAAGACUUGUAGUUCUUAAAAGAUAAAUGUUAGUACAAGUUAUAGAAAUUUUAUAGUAAAAACCCCUCUUAAUGUUUUCGUUUUAAUAAAAUCUGUAAAAAUUUCAGUCAACAAAAUAAACUAGUAGCCCGCCAUUGUUGAUGUCAAUAAUUACUUACACAAUGCUCAUGGGUGCUGAAGCCUAUAAAAUCAGUCGCACCCAAGCGCCAGCAGAGGGCGGAAAAACUCCAUAAAACACAAUUAACAUGUGGGCAUUUCUCUGUACUGUCAUUUAAAUCUGUCUGAGCGGGCAUGUGCGUUAAUUGCGUCAAAUAUAUUAACGUGAUUCAUUUAAAAAAUUAAUUACCGCCCGUUAACGCGAUAAUUUUGACAGCUCUAUAAUAAAGAAGAUACUGUGAGGUAUAAUAAGGCACUGUUAAUGCGACAAAAAAAAAUGAAAACGACUGAAGACAAAAUGGCGGACGUGACUUCGGCGUCGUAAAGUCGAAAUCGUGUAAGUCGAGUAUGUCAUAACCCGGGGGACUACCUGUAUAAGGUGAAUCAGAUUAUAAUGCACACUGUUGGCUUUGGGGUGCGCCUUAUAGUGUGGAAAAUACAGUAAUUAGCUUAUGUCACCAUCCCUAUUUUUUUUACAUCUCGUUCUCACAAGUGGAAGUCAGGCCGGGCGCCAACGUGACUCGGUUAGCUCAGCGCCGUUGAAUGGCAGCUUCCUGGGUUGUGCCAUUUGGAAAGAUAAUGGAAGGUGGUUCUCAGGGAGUCCACCAGUCUCGGGCGUCGGCGCCGAGAGGGCGCGGCCCGGGAGGGAGCGGUGGGGAAGUGGUGGAUGACAGCAUGGCCAGGUGGAAGUGAGAGCAGGAAACUGCAUUAGUCAGUAGCGCUUGUGUGGAGGCAUUUGGGGGCGCUGGAGAGCGACGUCGUGAUCCCCGGAGAUCACGCAUUCCUAGCGGUGUGACCCCUCACCGCCUUGGCAGCGUUUGCCGCUUUCGCGUCCUGCGAGGCAGCACAGUCGCUCAUUCACUCGCUGGAGAUGUUUUCCCUCUCGCACCUCCGAAAGGAAGAGGAAGAGGAAAGGGGGUGGGCAGAGGAGGUGGGGGUUGUGCCGUCAUGACAAAGCGGGGUGUCGUUCUUUUAGACAAGUCACGUUGCCAUCGUACCUCUUUGCUAUCCUACCACCAUACCCGACACUUUCAUGGACGUUUGACUCCAAAUACGAUCUAGGCCACUUUCAUAUACGGGUUUAAAUAGGGAUGUCCCCGAUCUGAUCGAAAUGAAGUGAUCGGGCCCGUUUCAGCACAUUGAGAGCGAAAAGGCAGAGAAAUGCGAGCGGAUACAGGCGUUCACUGGACCGCGCCUUUUAUUGCCAUAAGCUUUUGCUACUCUUUCACAACAAAUAUAAUUAUUGUGGCAAACGAUGUGGGGAAGAAUGACAGGAGACGAUCUUUUUCUUAACACGCUUAAUUGAACACAACGCAGAACCUACCACUGACAGUCAUGGUUGCCCAACUUCCCAUCAUGCAUUUGGGCGGAACAAUUAUGUCGCUACAGUAUCAUUUAGUCAAAGCACAACAAAAAUAAUAUUCCUAUCGCUCACAGGACACGAUCUUUUUCUUAACACGCAUAAUUGAUCACAACGCAGAACAUAUACCAUUUGCAGCCACUACUGACAGUCAUGGUUGCCCAACUUCCCAUCAUGCAUUUGGGCGGAACUGUUAAGUCGCUACAGUAUCAUUUAGUGAAAGCACAACAAAAAUAAUAUUCCUAUCUCUCGAAAAAUUGUUCACAAAAAGGAAAGCGCUCAAUGCAAAGAGAACUGGCAUUCCCAAUCAAAAUAGCUAUGCAAAAUACACAUGAAACUUACUCAGACUUUGCCUUGGCUAGAUUAAUUAAUUUAAAACUCGCCAUUGACACCUUGUGGUGUAUUUCAAUCACUACCUUACGUAGUUAAGGACACUGUGGAAGAACGGCAGGGAGCCCAUGUAACGUCCCGCUUGGCAACAUCAACAAUGGCGAGCUACUAGUUUAUUUUUUGACUGAAAAUUUUACGAAUUUUAUUAAAAUGAAAACAUUAAGAGGGGUUUUAAUAUAAAAUUACUAUAACUUGUAUUGACAUUUAUCCUUCAAGAACAAGAAGUCUAUAUCCGAUCACCUCGAGUAAUUUGAUUAGAAAAAAGCUUCAAACUAAAUUUUGCUGCUUCGAGGAUUCGCUUAAUUAGAGUGGUGUUGUAAUGGUUUGUUUUAACAGUGUUUGCAUUUAGUUUUAUUGAUUUGGGUGGUUACACUGCCCUCUAGUGGCAACAGUGAAUAUGACGUGACUCAUCUUACACGGCUGGAUCCAGCUGCUCCCUGUUAAGACCAACAUAAGGUUGUAAGUUUUUGUUUAAGCUAAUAUGAUUGAUUAUGCAUUCGUAAUUUAGUAUAGAGAUAUACAAGUGCCCUCUAUAAUUAUUGGCACCCCUGGUUAAGAUGUGUUUUUUAGCUUGUAAUAUAUAUAUUUUUCUAAAUAAUAUGGGACCUUAAAGGAAAAAAAUAGAAAAAUCCAACCUUCAAUACAAGUGCAUUCAUUCAGUGGGGAAAAAAAUCCCACAUAAAGAAAAAAAUUAUUUGACAUCAAAUAAUGUGUGUCACAAUUAUUAGCACCCCUGGUGUCAAUACUUUGUACAACCCCCUUUUGCAAAAAAAAACAAGGUCUGGGGACUGAGAUGGCCAUGGGAGGAGCUUGAUUUUGUGUCUGGUGAACCAUUUCCGUGUAGAUUUGGCCAUAUGUUUAGGGUCAUUGUCUCGCUGAAAGACCCAGUGACGACCCAUCUUCAGCUUUCGGGCAGAGGGCAACAGAUUUUGAUUUAAAAUCAAAGAACCAAGCAGGGUGAGGCAGCAUUUAGUUAUUAUGCUCCUCACCUCUGGAACAAGUUACCCGAACGUCUGAAGUAUGCUCAAACUGUUAGCUCCUUUAAAUCAGGGCUAAAAACGCUUUUGUUUAGCACUGCAUAUCCAUAAUUGUCUAUAUAUUUCAAUCUACCUGCCUUCUAUUCCUCUUGUGCUUAUCUCUAUUGCUGAUUUCAAUGAUUAUUAGUAGUAGUAGUUUUUGCUUUAUUUUUAUUUUUGUUUUAUUUUUAUUCAUUUAUUUUUAAUCUGUGAUUAAAUGCAAUCUUUUGUCUUGGUUUUUACGUUGUGUUGAUUUAAAUGUGAUUUUUAUGGUCUUCAUGUGAUGUAAAGCACUUUAAAUUGUCUUGUGUUGAAUUGUGCGAUAUAAAUAAAUUUGCCUUGCCAAUUUGCCUAAAAUGUCCUGGUAUUUCAAAGCAUUUAUGCUGCCAUGCACCCUAACAAGGUUCCCAGGCUUCAACUGGGACCGUGUGCUUUGGUCAGAUGAGACCAAGAUUGAGCUUUUUGGCAACAAACACUCUAAGUGGGUCUGGCGUGCCAUGAAAGAUGUGCAUGCUGAAAAGCACCUCAUACCCACUGUGAAGUAUGGGGGUGGGUCAGUGAUGCUGUGGGGCUGUUUCGCUUCCAAAGGCCCUGGGAACCUAAUAUGUGCUAAUAAUUGUGACACACAUUAUUUGAUGUCAAAUAUUUUUUUCUUUAUGUGGGAUUUUUUUCCCCACUGAAUGAAUGCGCUUGUAUUGAAGGUUGGAUUUUUCUCUUUUUUUUCCAUUAAGGUCCCAUAUUAUUUGAAUUAAAAAUGUAUACAUAUUAGAGGCUAAAAAACACACCUUUUUCAGGGGUGCCAAUAAUUAUGGAGGGUACUGUAUUUAGCUGUUUUUUAAUUUUUUUUUUGUGGGAAUAUGUUUCUGAACGAUUUGUUAUGAGCAAUGUUAAAAAAAAAAAAAAAAGUUAGCAUUUUAUAACAUUUAAGCUAGAGGACUCUUGCUAUGCUCGUUAGUCAAUUGUCUUUUUGUUGUACUUUGAUCCUCAUUUAUCUAUUUAAAUGCAUUUAUUGCUCUUGUGAAAUGAAAGUGCAAUGCUGCAUAGUUUGAUAAAACACUUGGGAAUUUUAUUUUGUAUUUGCAUUUAAUGCAAUUUUGAAGGUGCAGUCUUAGCAAGCUUUUGUUUUACAUCAGCUAAAAUUUACUCUGCAACGCAUUAAAUGUUACUAAUCCGAUGACUUGAUUAUUCGAAGUAAUUGAUCGCUUAAUCGAUUACUUCAAUUAUCGAUAGCUGCAGCCCUACACUAAAGCCAAAAGUUUGUGAGUUGCUGGGGAGAAGUGGCUGGGGUCAGAGCCAAAUCUCAAAAAAUAGACCCUCCGGGAAAGCUUUGAGUGGCCCCAGCGCCGGUUGUUCCACAAAUAGUUCCACUGUUGUGUGGAAUGAAAAUAGAAAAGACUUUGCAUGUGGCGUCAUUAUUCCGGAGAGCACGCAUAAUUCCUGUGUCACCCAAAAGCAGCACGGGUAAAGCUGCUGCAGUUUACCUGUGUCUGAGGGGUUACUAGAGGCUAAUGCACCCACGCACACGUACAAAAAGAAGGAGUGAGCAUUGUAGAGCAAGCCUAGUGGGCACAGAUAAGACUUGCAGUCAUGCCUUACCAGCGUGACUGUGACAUCACAGUUGCAUUGAGAGUUCCAAACAAACUGGCUUGAUGCAGUCAGCCCCUUGACCUCCUGUGAGGUUAAACAAAAUAGCAAAAAAAAAAUAUUAAGAUAAACAAGAAAAUGCAACUUCUAGAAAAAAUGUGUGGGGAUGCUUUGCUACUGUAGGUUUUCUAUCACUUGCUAUUCGUUUUGGGGCAUUUUCGGGUCACUUCCUUGUUAGUGUCAUUGAUGGCCAGCGGUGGGUAGAGUAGCCAAAAAUUGGACUUAAGUAAGAGUAUCGUUACUUUUAAAAUAAUAUUACUCAAGUAAAAGUAGUCAUCCAUAAAAUGUACUCAGGUACAAGUAAAAAAAUUUGGGUGAAAAGAAUAAUCAAGUAAUGAGUAACAUUGUGAGUAACUGCUUACAAUCUUUGAUUUUUCUUUAAUUUUUUUUUUUUUUUAGCACAAAGUUAUUUAUAUGAACUUAUUAUUAUACGGUACUAUAACCUAUUACAUAACCACUUUAAGCCAAAGGACUACGAAAAAAAAUCAUUGAAUUCCAGUGAGAGAAAUUUUUUUUACAGAGAUAAAGCAUCAUGUGUCCAAAGAGCAUGAGUGCCCUCUAGUGGAGAAAUCAACUCCUAGUUUGAAUUUUUGAAUAGUAGGGCUGCCAAAUUUAUCACGUUAACGGGCGGUAAUUAAUUUUUUAAAUUAAUCACGUUAAAAUAUUUCACACAUUUAACGUAGGCGCGGAACGACCCACUCAUGCAUUGCCGCAAACAGACUACAAUGGCGCCGUUUUAUAUAUAUUGAGAGCUAAAAGGCAGAGACAAGCGAGUGGAGUGGACACAGGCAUUCAUUGGGACGGCGCUAUUCAUAGGCAUAAGCGUUAGCAUCUCUUCCGCAACAAAUAUUACUAUUGUGGCGAGCGACGUGGGGAAGAAUGACAGGAGAUGAUCUUUUUCUCAACACCCUAUAUUGAACACAACACAGAGAAGAUAUACCAUUUGCAGCCACCACUGACAGUCAUGGUUGCCCAACUUCCCACCAUGUAUUUGAAUGGAACAGUUAAGUCGCUACAGUAUCAUUUAUUGAAAACACGACAAAAAUAAUAUUCCUAUCUCUUAAAAUAAAUAAUGUUCACAAAAAGAAAAGCGCUCAAUGCAAAGAGAACUUGCAUUCCCAAUCAAAAUAGCUAUGCAAAAUAAUACUUAGACUUUGGUCAAACUCUAUUCAAACAUUUCGUUUAGCUCAACAAAUACACUAGAUGGCAAUAUUUAGUCACAAUAUACAAACUAUCAGAGGUCUCGUACGUUGUAAAGUCAACACUAAAAUGAACGUAAGGUACAAUGAACCCGGAAACUACGGCGUCAGUCGACGGGCAAAACGUACUAGAAAAACUUGGCUAGAUCUCUAAUUAAUUUAAAAUUCGUCCUUGACACCUUGUGGUGUAUUUCAAUUACUACCUUCCACAAUGGAGAGCUAUUAGUUUAUUUUUUGAUUGAAAAUUUUACAAAUUUUAUUAAAAUGAAAAAAUACAGAGGGGUUUUAAUAUAAAAUUACUAUAACUUGUUUUCACAUUUAUCUUUUAGGAAUUACAAGUCUUUCUAUCUGUGAAUCCCUUUCACAGAAAGAAUGUUAAUAAUGUUAAUGCCUUCUUGUGGAUUUAUUGUUAUAAUAAACAAAUGCAGUACUUAUGUACAGUAUGUUGAAUGUAUAUAUCCGUCUUGCCUUAUCUUUCCAUUCCAACAAUAAUUUACAGAAAAACAUGUCAUAUUUUAGGGAUGGUUUGAAUUGCGAUUAGUUACGAUUAAUUCAUUUUUAAGCUGUGAUUAACUCGAUUAAAAAUUUUAAUCGUUUGACAGCCCUAUUGAAUAGUUCCUUCAUUGUUCCCAUCAUGUUCCUAUUCAUUGUUCCUAUAUAAACCGAUCCUAGGCGGCUUGCCGAGAUAUAUUGACCUGCUGCCAUUUGACUGUUUUUAUUCUUGACCCCAUCGUCGCGAGUUGCAUCUUUACCUUGUUUUUUCCGUUCGCCUGCCACUCGCCGCAGUUUUCCCUCUUUCAUUUUUUUUUAAUUGAUCCCGAUCUACCGUCGUGGACCGUUUUUGUGUCUUGCAUUUUUUUGUGUGUUCAAUAAACCUUUUUACGCAAUCCCUAUGUUAUUGUUGUCUGCUUGUUUCUGCAUUUGCGGACCAAAAUGCUUUCAGGUUUUACCGCGCAAAGACACAAGGCAUGUGGGUUGGGAUUGCAUUAUAAGGAAAAGCAUGACGCUGAUAUCACGUGAAAGUAUAGUCCUGUGGUCUACGACUCAUCUAUUGCUUUUGCUGCUCGUUUUGUGAAAUAUCAAUAGUAUUGUCCUGCUCAUCAUUUUUCUGCUCGGGUUCGAACUGGAAGGGCAGAACCGACGACAUGUUUAUGUACCUAAAGAGUGACACUGUGGAAGCACAGCAGCGCCAGUUCAUUGCAUCGUCAACAACAAUGGCGACCUACCAAAGCUAUUAAACUAAUUUUAAAAUUUUUAUUAGGGCUGUCAAAAUUAUCACGUUAACGGGCGUUAAUUAAUUUUUUUAAUUAAUCACGUUAAAAUAUUUGACGCAAUUAACGCACAUGCCCCGCUCAGAAAGAUUAAAAUGACAGCAGUGUAAUGUCCGCUUGUUACUUGUUUUUUGGUGUUUGGCGCCCUCUGCUGGUGCUUGGGUCCAAAUGAUUUUAUGGGUUUAAGCACAAUGAGUGACCAUGGUGUAGUUAUUGACAUCAACAUUGGCGAGCUACUAGUUUAUUUUUUGAUUGAAAAUUUUACAAAUUUUAAUAAAACGAAAACAUUAAGAGGGGUUUUAAUAUAAAAUUUCUAUAACUUGUUCUAACAUUUAUCUUUUAAGAACUACAAGUCUUUCUAUCCAUGGAUCACUUUAAGAGAAUGUUAAUAAUGUUAAUGUCAUCUUGUUGAUUUAUUGUUAUAAUAAACAAAUACAGUACUUAUGUACCGUAUGUUGAAUGUAUAUAUCAUACUCGUAUAAUACUCAAUUAAAAAUUUAUCGUUUGACAGCCCUAAUUUUUAUUAAAACGAAAACAUUAAGAGGGGUUUUAAUUAGGGGUGUCAAAAUUAUCGUGUUAACGGGCAGAAUUUUUUUUUUUAAAUUAACCACGUUAAAAUAUUUGACGCAUUUAACGCACAUGCCCAGCUCAAACAGAUUAAAAUGACAGCACAGUGGAAUGUCCACUUGUUACUUGUGUUUUUUUGGGUUUUGUCACCCUCUGCUGGCGCUUGGGUGCAACUGAUUUUAUGGGUUUAAGCACCAUGAGAAUUGUGUAAUCAUUGACAUCAACAAUGGUGGGCUACUAGGGUCCAAAUGAUUUUAUGGGUUUAAGCACAAUGAGUGAGCAUGGUGUAAUUAUUGACAUCAACAUUGGCGAGCUACAAGUUUAUUUUUUGAUUGAAAAUUUUACAAAUUUUAUUAAAACGAAAACAUUAAGAGGGAUUUUAAUAUAAAAUUUCUAUAACUUGUACUAAUAUUUCUCUUUUAAGAACUACAAGUCUUUCUAUCCAUGGAUCGCUUUAACAGAAUGUGAAUAAUGUACCUAUGUACCGUAUGUUGAAUGUAUAUAUCCGUCUUGUAUCUUUUAUUUCCAUUCCUACAAUAAUUUACAGAAAAAUAUGGCAUAUUUUAUAGAUGUUUUGAAUUUCAAUUAAUUACGAUUAAUUUUUAAGCUGUAAUUAACUCGAUUAAAAAUUUUAAUCGUUUGACAGCCCUAGUUUUAAUAUCAAAUUACUAUAACUCAAACUAACAUUUAUCUUUUAAGAAUUACGUCUUUCGAUCUGUGCUACCCUGUAAUGUGACUCUUUUGUUUGUGUAUCAAAUAUGAAAAAUGGUAGAGCUGAGAAGUGAUUAGCUUUACAAUCAUUUCUUAGCUUCCCAAACAUCCCAAAAAUGUUAACGUUGACUUUGUUAUCUGUUUCAUCCCCUCACCCCUGACCCCUCCUUCACUUUACCUCUGCUGUUUAAAUUCUUUGACCUUAUCUUUGAAAGUCUUGUUUAUCGGCGGUUGUGUCACCAGCACCUCUGUUGCCCAUUAAACUGCUACCCGAGCGCUUUGCCGCAGAAUUCCCAGGCUACUCGGCUGCCCGGGUUCACACCUUUUUGUCCGCAGGAAUCUCAGGAAUCCCCAACUUCCUUUCUAUUGUGUGUGUGUGGCAAGAUGAAGGAAGGGCCCCCGCCUGUUGAAAUGCACAUCAUCUCCACCCUUGUAACCACCCGGAGAAAGCGAGCAGGCAGCUCUCACAAUGAACUGAUACUCGCAUUCUAAAACGGCAAAAAAUACCUAUUAUGUUGUAAUAACUAGUAUUGCACAGAUACCUUUUUUUUGGCUCCUGAUACCAAUUCGAUACUGUACCGAUACUACUUUUUUUGAAGAAAUACAAUACAGGUAGUCCUGGGGUUACGAACAAGCUUCCGACCCUACGCUGGCGACGUAACCUGAAUUUCCACGUAAAUCGGUAUUAAAACCCUUUAAAAAUUGAACUAUCCAAAGAGUUUGUUUAAUGGUGGUGGAUACACUGCCUUCUGGUGGUAGCAUUGGGCCUGGCUGGACUGUUGUUCAAUAAUGCUUCCAUAUAGGAGCACUCAGACGUCUCUUGCAUAGACUUCAUAAUGUAUUGACGGUACGUGGGGCCGAUUUACAGGGAGCAGGGAGCCUAUUUCCGUCAAAGCUGACCAAGUGGAAACACAGACAAAGAGCCUUUUCCGUUGAAAAUUCUUGUGAAUAAAUGCUUAAAUCCCAGAAUUAUUUAUAGAUAUGGACGUAAAACAGUCUCGAUUCUUCACUCAACAGGAAAACUACAUUAUUUUCAAUGAAUUACACCCACCUGGACGCAACGAACUGUUUGUAGGAAAAGUUGUUCGAGAGUUGAAGAGGACGCUUGCCAUUAGUAAUGCUAACGCGAAUGCUCAGCUAACGCUACGAGUUCGAUUCUUGGUUAAAAGCAAAAAAAAAAAAAAAAAAAAAAAAAACGGGCAGUUAGCAUUUAUUUUACAUAAAUAUGUCGAAUGUGCUGCUAGUCUAUUAGUGAAUGUAGCAGUUAUUAUUUUUCACGUAAAUAUUGCGAACUAUGAUGCUAGUCAGUAAGUAAACUAGCAGCCGCCAUAUGUAAACAAAGAGCUGUUUCUGUUGAAAAUUUUUGUGAAUAAAUGCUGAAAUCCCUGAUUUUUUUUUGCAGAUACGGACGUAAAACAGUCUCGAUUCUUGGUUAAAAGCAAAACAAAAAACAAAAAAAACAUGUAGUUAGCAUUUAUUUUCACGUAAAUAUUGUAAACUAUGAUGCUAGUCAGUAAGCAAAUUAGCGGCCACCAUAUGUAAACAAAGAGCUUUUUCUGUUGAAAAUUCUUGUGAAUAAAUGAUUGAAUCCCUGAAUUCUUUAUUGAUAUGGACGUAAAACAGUCUCGAUUCUUGGUUAAAAGCAAAAAAAAAUGUGCAGUUAGCAUUUAUUUUACGUAAAUAUUGCAAACAAUGAUGCCUGUCAGUAAGCAAAUUAGCGGCCGCCAUAUGUAAACAAAGAGCUUUUUCCGUUGAAAACUCUUGUAAAUAAAUGCUUAAAUCCCUGAAUUCUUUAUCAAUAUGGACGUAAAACAGUCUUGAUUCUUGGUUAAAAGCUAAAUAAAACAUGCAGUUAGCAUUUAUUUUGUGUAAAUAUUGCAAACUAUGAUGAUAGUCGGUAAGCAAUUUAGCGGCCACCAUAUAUAAACAAAGAGCUAUUUCCGUUGAAAACUCUUGUGAAUAAAUGCUUAAAUCCCUGAAUUCUUUAUAGUUAUAGACGUGAAAACAGUCAUGAUUCUUGGUUAAAAGUAGAGCUGUCCCAACUAGUCGACAUAGUCGACGUCAUCGAUGACGUAAAUCCGUCGACGAGCACAACAUCCCGUCGACGGUUAAUGAAGGGUUAAAAAAAUAUAUGCGUGGAAAGUUAGAAUGUCGGAUGCUCUGUUUGCAAGCGGGGAAAGCGGCACAAAGCCAAAAAAAAGCGCACCAGAGUGUCCAAAACAUUGACUUAUUUCAAAGAAACAAAGGAGAGUACACUCUUCUGUCCUGUCUGUUCAGUGCCAAGCUUGGCUGCAUGUCGGCCGUGAAUAAACAACUCAAGCGCCUCCACGCAGUUUGUAAUUUUUUUUUUCCUUCAUUUUUUGUACACCAGAGGGUGCUGUCGCCUUACUAAAUAAUAAUGUUUCAUUGACAAUGGGCCUAUAAGUGCUAUUAGUAUUGUUCUUAAUGCUAAUUGAAAGGUUUAUUUCAUGUUAUGGUUUAUUUUAAUGUAUAGAAAAUUAUAUAAGGUUAAAAGGUCAUAAAUAUAUACAGUAUAUACAGUCAUUGCACUCAAGGGAGAGAUUGUCAAUGAUAAGGUAAUAAGGUAAAGGCAAUUCAUAUAGGCAAUUCAUUGAUAUAUAAAUAAGGUUUAAAAGGAAAAAGGUGAAAAGUUUUUGUUAAUUUCUAAUUGUGUUGCUUUAUUUGUGUGCACCGUAGCUCUUACGGUGUGUUUACAUCAAGGAUGGAAUAAAAGUUGUAAACCAUCAGUUUAAGAGACCAUCUUUUCAAUCGGGAUGCUACACUAGUUAAUUCUAUCAGCAUUUGAACUCAUUGUUUAUUUGUGAUUUAUUAUUGUUAUUUACGUGUUUAUUUGUACUUUAAUAAAUAAUUUGAGUGUUCCAAUAUGUUUUUUGUGAAUUGAUAAGCGUCAACAAAAAUUUCAUUGCUAAAUUAGUAAAAAAAAAAAAAAAAAAAAUUUAAUUAUUAGAUUAGUCGACUAAUCGUAAAAAUAAUCGGCUGACUAAUCGGGAGAAAAUUAGUCGUUUGGGACAGCCCUAGUUAAAAGCAAAUAAAAGUGUAGUUAGCAUUUAUAUUACGUAUAUAUUGCGAACUAUAAUGCUAGUCAGAAAGCAAAUUUGUGGCCACCAUAUGUGAGCAAAGAGCUUUUUCCGUUGAAAACUCUUGUGAAUAAAUGCUUAAAUCCCUGAAUUAUUUAUAGAUAUGGCUGUAAAACAGUCUUGAUUCCUUGUUAAAAGAACAGAGAACCGGGCAGUUAGAAUUUAUUUUACAUAAAUAUUGCGAAUUAUGAUGCUAGUCAGUAAGCAAAUUAGCGGCCACCAUAUGUAAACGAAGAGUUUUUUCCGUUCAAAAUUCUUAUGAAUAAAUGCUUAAAUCCCUGAAUUCGUAAUAGAUAUGGACAUAAAACAGUCUCAAUUCUUGGUUAAAAAACGUGCAGUUGUCAUUUAUUUUACGUAAAUAUUCCGAACUAAAAUGCUAGUCAGUAAGCAAAUUAGCGGCCGCCAUAUCUAAACAAAGAUCUUUUUUCGUUGAAAUAUUGUGAAUAAAUGCUUAAUCCCUGAAUUCUUUAUAGCUGUAGACAUAAAACAGUCUUCAUUCUUGGUGAAAAGCAAAAAACCAUGCAAUUAGCAUUUAUUGUACGUAAAUAUUGCGAACAAUGAUGCUAGUCAGUAAGCAAAUUAGCGGCUGCCAUAUCACAGACAAAGAACUUUUUCCGUUGCAAAUUCUUGUGAAUAAAUGCUUAAAUCCCUGAAUUCUUUUAUAGAUAUGGACGUAAAACAGUCUCGAUUCUUCACUCAACAGGAAAACUACAUUAUUUUCAAUGAAUUACACCCACCUGGACGCAACGAACUGUUUGUAGGAAAAGUUGUUCGAGAGUUGAAGAGGACGCUUGCCAUUAGUAAUGCUAACGCGAAUGCUCAGCUAACGCUACGAGUUACAUUUACUGUGUGAUGAUCUCUCAGCACAGACCUUUAAAGCCUAAAGCAAAAUUGUAAAUGAUCUCUGACCAAGAUAAGAAAACAAAUCUUACUGUGUGCGCAAGUUUGGAGACUGGAAAGGACACUGGUGAUUCGGUGGGGGGUGCAGCACAUCACAUGAGUGACACAACCAGACACUGCUACAAUGCUGGCUAACUACACAUAAAAUGUCACACAAUGUGAACAUGUGACGGAAACUGUGGAGCAUUUUCGUCUCGUUCUCGUCCCGUGAGUCAAAACUAGCAUUAGUCUUGUUGCAUUUUAGUCUCCAAGACUCGUUAUUAGCUCCUUAUCGUCUCGUCAUCGUCAUGAAAGAAAUUGUUCGUCGACGAAAUAUUUUCGUCAUAGUCAUCGUUGACGAAAACCACACUGCUGUGAGGUUCAACAAGGUACUGGAAACAAAACAACGGACGAGUCUUCGGCGUCGUAAAGUUUAAAUCGCUUAAGUUGAGUCUGUCUUAACCUGGAGACUACUUGUAGUAAACAAUUUUUAUUGUUAAAUACUCCUGCAAAUAGAUGACUUUAGACCAUAGUUUCAGUCUAAUGUUGGGUACGAAUGCAACUAAUUUCCGAUGAGAACAAGGAUGACCAUGUUUUGUAAUUGUCAGUUCUCCCAGCAACAUGGGCCUCAUUUUGCCUUCAAAUUCUAGUCAAUAACAUACUUGCAUUUUGCUUUUUUUUUUUUUUUUUUUUUUUUAAAUCAUAAAAAUGUCAAAUUUCCGCCCGUGUCUAUUUUGCGCAAAAUCUUCCGACCGGUGACAGAACGCUAAAUAAUGACAGGCAUAAGACGGUGUUUAUUUGAGUCCUGAUGUGAUUUGGCAGUGGCGGAGUCAUUUGAGCCACUGCGGUCUUGACUCAUCCCCCGUUCCAGCGCUGCCUGCUGCCACAACUCAGCAGCGCCCGUCGGACCCGACGCCGAGCAACACGCGCGCACAGACCCGUUCAUUCAUGGGAUCGACACGCGACAGGCGGUGAUUCACGCACACCCACUCGUUUUAUGUCGUCGCAUCGAGCUAGCGCCGCGCCGGAGGCUGAGGCUUUUUGCCCAAAUCCAUCCCAUCGCAGCCGUGUUCCAACCACAGAUUCUUUCAAGUCCGCAUGACACCCCGUGUUGUAGCUCUUUGUGCUUACUGCGAUAGCUUUAAAUGGGGCUGUACGUGUUAUUUUGGGGUAUCAAUUCUAUUCGAGCAAGACUCUCACCUGAAGAUACUAGUACUGAAUCUGCAUAGUUCUUUAUCAACAUUUACAGUACAUAGUAUACAUUAUUAGUUUUUUAAAAUCCAUGUGUAUAUACUGUAGGGCUGAAGCUAUCGAAUAUUUUAGUAAUCGAGUAUUCGACUGAAAAUUCUAUCGAUCAAUCAAAUAAUCGGACAAAACAUUUUUUGGGGGGGGGCAAAUAUAAAUAUACAUGAGAAAACAAGACAUGUCACCUAAUAUAGACACAUUUUCAGAAAAUUUAAAAAAAAAUAAAAAUUAGCCACUUCUCAUUGGCAUCGUAGUUUGCAACAUUUACAUAAAAUAAAUGCUAACAUCACGUUUUUUUUAUUUUUAUUUUUUUAUUUGCUUUUAACCAAGAAUCGAGACUGUUUUACGUCCAUAUCUAUAAAGAAUUUGGGGAUUUAAUUAUUUUUUUCACAAGAAUUUUCACCGGAAAAGCUCUGUUUACAUCAGGCGUCAGCUAGCUACAUUCACUAACAGACUAGCGUUGUACUUCGACAUAGUUACGUGAUAUAAAUGCUAAUUGCAUGGGUAAUUUUUUGCUUUUAACCAAAAAUCGAGACUUUUAAAAAAUCCAUAUCUAUCAAGAAUUCGGAGAUUUAAGCAUUUAAUCACAAGAAUUUUAACCAGAAAAGCUCUGUUUACAUCAGGCGGCCGCUAGCUACAUUCACUAACAGACUAGCGUUGUACUUCGACAUAGUUACGUGAUAUAAAUGCUAAUUGCAUGGGUAAUUUUUUGCUUUUAACCAAAAAUCGAGACUUUUUAAAAAUCCAUAUCUAUCAAGAAUUCGGAGAUUUAAGCAUUUUUCACAAUAAAUUUCACCAGAAAAGCUCUGUUUACAUCAGGCGGCCGCUAGCUUCAUUCACUAACAGACUAGCAUUGUACUUCGACAUAUUUACGUGAUAUAAAUGCUAACUGCACUUCUUCUUUUUUGCUUUUAACCAAGAAUCGAGACUGUUUUACGUCCAUAUCUAUAAAGAAUUCGGGGAUUUAAGCAUUUAUCCACCAUAAUUUUCAGCAGAAAAGCUCUGUUUACAUCAAGCGGCCGCUAACUACAUUCACUAACAGACUAGCAUUGUACUUCGACAUGUUUACGUGAAAUAAAUGCUAACUGCACGUUUUUUUUUUUUUUUGCUUUUAACCAAGAAUCGAGACUGUUUUACGUCCAUAUCUAUAAAGAAUUCGGGGAUUUAAGCAUUUAUUCACAAGAAUUUUCACCGUAAAAGCUCUGUUUACGUCAGGCAGCCAUUAGCUACAUUCACUAACAGACUAGCAUUGUACUUCGAAAUGUUUACAUGAAAUAAAUGCUAACUGCACUUUUUUUUUCUUCUGCUUUUAACCAAGAAUCGAGACUGUUUUACGUCCAUAUCUAUAAAGAAUUCGGGGAUUUAAGCAUUUAUUCACAAGAAUUUUCACCAGAAAAGCUCUGUUUACGUCAGGCGGCCGUUAGCUACAUUCACUAACAGACUAGCAUUGUACUUUGAAAUGUUUACGUAAAAUAAAAGCUAACUGCACAGUUUUUUUUUUUUUUUUUUUUUUUUGCUUUUAACCAAGAAUCGAGACUGCUUUACCACCAUAUCUAUAAAGAAUUCGGGGAUUUAAGCAUUUACUCACAAGAAUUUUAACUGGAAAAGCUCUAUUUACGUCUGGCGGCCGCUAGCUACAUUCACUAACAGGCUAGCAUUGUACUUCGACAUGUUUACUUAAAAUAAAUGCUAACUGCAGGUUUGUUUGUUUUUUUUUAUUUCCGCUUUCAACCAAAAAUCGAGACCGUUUUACAUCCAUAUCUAUAAAGAAUUUGGUCAUUUAAGCAUUUAUUCAAAAGAACUUUCACCGGAAAAAUUCUAUUUACGUCAGGCGGCCGCUAGCUACAUUCUCUAACAGCUCUGUUUCUGUUUCUGUCUCUAAAAGCUGUUUUUUUUCAGUUUUUUUUUUUUUUUUUUGCUUUUAACCAAGAAUCGAGACUGCUUUACGUCUAUAUCAAGAAUUCAGGGAUUUAAGCAUUUACUCACAAGAAUUUUCAACAAAAAAAGCUCUUUGUCUGUGAUUCCACAACAAUGCAGGCCCCCUUUAUAUAGUCUAUGAUCCGAUAUUAUUUUAAAUGCUUUCAUUGGCCGUAAUUACCAGCAACCCGAUAAUAUCUAGUCUAGUCUAGUCUGUGAACUUUUGAAUAGCUGUCGACUCUCCCUGAUAGGGUUAAAAAAUAGAUAUAUAAAUAAAUCAAUCUCUGUGUAAACAUUUAGAUUUGAAUGCAUAGCUCAGGACUUUUGACUCUUUUAGUUAUUUGGGUCAAAUGUCCUGGGAAGUGACUCAGGGUUUGGAUUUGAAAGUUAUGAAUGAAUCCUGACAAAGACAACGUGUGGCAAUGUGUGUGUAACAUGGGUGCAGCAGCAGCGGCGUCGCCUUUGAUGAGUCACACGGCCUUCUGUGAGUAAGCCACCAGCUAUGUCAUUCCUGGAGGUUUGAGGCUCCCUCCGCCCCGAACCCCCGAGUGGGUGGAGAAGGGUGCGGUGAGGGGUCGAUAGGUGUGGUCCACAGCGGUGCCGUGUGUGGGGCUAGAAUGGCAGGAAGUAGGUGAAGGCUGGCAGAGGAUGUUGGGGGCACACCAAGGGCGAGGACCAAGGUUGCUUUCAGGUCAACACGUGGCCGCCUGUAUCGUUAGCUGUUUCCUUUUCAGUUGUUGAAGUCGCCUAACACGUCUUUUAUUCAUGUCAGUAGUUUAAGUUGUAUCAAGUGAAAAGAUCAGGACCAGCUCUAUUAUAUUGUGAUUGUCUGUUUUGUGGUGGGGGUGGGGGGUAUUUUCCAUAUCAUAAGAUUCAUCUUUUGGACAGGCCUGUGACUUAUGUUCAGGUGCGUCUUUUUUUUUUAACCCGAGUGUUUUUUCAAAUUAUACAGAAUUGCACUUUAAAAAUAAACUAGGCUUGCAAGCAGGACUGAACGGGCCCUCGCAGUUUGGCACAACUGGGACGGCACUCAGGUCAGGGUGGUGGCAGAUCGUCCCCAUUUCAUCAUCUCAUAAGAACCUAACUUGCUUAAAAUUUGCUUAUUUUGGGGGGGAUUAGAAAUGCAUUCACAUAUCAAGGAGAAAAAAAACCCUAUUGAAGAGGGUCCUCCAAAAAAAAAGGCGCUACAUACUCACAUCCAUUUCAAGUAUGAAAAAGAUUGAACCUUGGAUGUGGAUUAGUCAUUGACUGAAUUUGGCUUUUUGCCAAAAAAAAAAAAAAAAAAAAAAAAAAAUAGCCAACUUUGGCACCCUGGCCAGGCCUGUGAAUGGAAACUCACAAUUUUGAUAACCUUUAAAUCACAUGUCUCAUGAACAGUCUCACCAAUUUUGGGGAGGAUCCUAUUAACUCCCUAAGUGCCAAGGUCUCAAAUGUGCACCCAGUAAAUCGAUAAAAAUUUCACAUUCAAUCCAAAAUACCCGAUUUCCUGUUGGGAUUGGAAUAUGGGUGCAGAGACUUUUUGGAGCAGUUUUGCACAAAUUAUCGACUCCAAAAUUUCAUCUCUCUAAGUUGAAAAAAACCUAAUAGGAGAGGCCUUUUGAAAAAUUCAAGGAGGCGCCACUGAGCCAUUUUGUUAAGCUUUUUCACAACGUCACAAAAUGAUCUAAAUUUACGCCAAGCCGCAUGUAUAUACAAAGUUUUCGCGCAUGUUAAGGCCUCCAAAUUUUCCAUUUUCAUCUGCCAAGGGGAAAAAAAUCCUUUGCAUUACAAUAGGGAUCUCGCGCCAGUAGGUGCUUGGGCCCUAAUAAAAUACCUGAGCGGUAUAAAAUAAAUAAAUAAAUAAGGAUCAAAGUACAACAAAAGAACAAUUACGUACUGCAAGCCACACAUCACUUUUGCUCAUUAAUAUUCAUGACGUUAGCAUUUGUGGCUAGGCGGGUCAACCUCCCGUUUGUGCCUAAUAGUAAAUGCGUUGAAAAAGUGUAUGAACGAGAUGUUUACUGGGCUAAACCUACCAAUUCUGUCUGAAACUGAUGUCCCUGGUGCCAAAUUCACUGGUAAAGAUGUGGAAGAACAUACAGACGUUCAGUUAAAGAGAUGGCUUGAGUGUCAAGGGCUGAAAAAGAGGAAAAAGAGCUGACCUGAUCCAGAGGUAGCUUUUUUAUGGACACCUUUUUCUUGUGUGCGUUGCCUUACGCCACUGACAAUGACAUUCUCCUGUUUCAACAAUCUAUCCUUUACCACCGUAUGCCCUGUCUUUCUUAUAUAUUGUCUGGUUGUCUUACGUCUCUGACCGUUCUUUGCUAUUUUUGUGUAGCGAUCGCAAAUGCUACUCAGUGACAGCCAACGAACACUUUUAAUUUUUUCAUUAAUAACAAAUCUUAAUUCUAUCAUUUAUUUACACUUCCCCCUUAUUAAAGUUGUUUUUUUAACAACAGAAAAGGUAACAGUGGCAGUCAGAUAGCAUUUUAAUUUUUUUCAGGUCAUUCAUUGUAAGACAGAAGCAGCACGGAAAAACGCCACACUAAAAAAUAAGUCAAAAUAUUCUAAAUGGCUUACCUCUUCACCCUCUGUAGGACCAUUGCCCCCCAAAAAAUGUUUACUGCAUAUGAGAUGUGAAUGGCUUCACCUUGCUGGCGUUAAACUGUUUUUUUGACAUCCGCACAAGUUGAUCUAUUCUUCACAUUUUUUCCUUCGGGUUUUUGGCUACGAGAUACGUAUGAAGAAAACAUCCUUCAUAUGUUGAAAUGUCUAGAGGCGUUUCUACAAGUUCCAUAGCAGCAGUGUUGGAUUGGCACGCUCUUUUUUGAAAGACUAACAGAGAAAACAAGAAAUAACAUGGGUUGUAUGCGAGGGCGUGUCUAUCAUGUCCCAUUUCCUUGUUACGAUGGCGACGUCACGUUCUAAAAAUAGCAUUCGUGCGGCACGCUAUUGGCUAACUUGCAUAGCAAACAUCCGCUAGCUUAAAUGCUAUGAAAUGCUAACAUUUUUAUUUACGUUCUUAACAAAUCGCUAAAACACCUAUUCCCACAAAAAAACAGCUAAAUAUCAAAUUACUAAGAUGCUAGUUUAGACAGAUGUUGGAAAAUUGGCAAAAAUUUGUUUUUUUCCAACGUAAACUCACUAAUAAUAUAAUGACAAAAUCUGACCAUAUUUACAACUCAAAAGUUAUAUGUAUGUUUCAAUUUAAAAAUUUAGACGGGUUUAAGGUGAAAAAGGUGAAAAAAGUGCAGCAACGACUAAUCGAUUAACUCGAAGAUUUGAAAAAAAGAUUUGAAUUAAAUUUUUCUGCUUCAAGUAUUUGUUUAAUUAAAGUGGCGUUGUAAUGGUUUAUUUGGAAAGUGUUUGCAUUAAUUUUUAUUGAUUUGGGUGGAUAAUAACUAGUUCACCGACUAAUCGACUACUAAAAUAAUCGAUAGCUGCAGCCCUAGUCAUAAACGAUUGUUUAUCAAAAUAGUUGUCAAUUAAUUUGAUAAUAAUUGUUAAAUAUUGUUAAAAAUGAUUGUUGCACCUCUACUACUUACUUAUUAAAAAUUUGUAUUUACAACAGGUUGAUGAAAAUUGAGUUCGGUUCACUUAUCAUAUGGGCGGAAAACACUCAGGUGACUUGAAGUUCCGCACUGAGACCCCCAAUUUGGCCAAAUUUCAAAAUUGCCCUAUAUGCAUGUGUGAUCAAGACACAGAAACAGCUAUAAGUGGCCACAGCCGGAAUUUGGGGGGAUUUUAUGGGUGAAACAUGGUAAUAUAACAAGGGUUGCGAUGCAGAAAUCGCAAACAUCAAGGAGUGGUCGAAAUUUUCAUUUUCAUAUAUUUAUCCUUUUAAACAUUUUUUUCAAUUUUUCUUUGUGUGGAUGGAUUAUUUAUCAUCUUAAAAUAUACUAAAUUUUAGACAUCAAUUAAUGAUUCUAAGCUAAAAAUGACAGACAUUACAAAUAAUAAAUAUGUUUACUUAUCUCCUUUUUAUGGUUAGGUUGAAACAAAAGCGGUUGCGCGACCAUUAGCGGAUUUUAAUGGGGGGCCAGGCCCUUCCGGUGGCCGAAAAGUGUCAUUGCAUGUAAUUGACUUUCCUAUAUCUAUAAAAGUUGUAAAGCAAUAAAACUGCUACAAGAGCCAAAAAAUAUAUUUUUAUAAUGGGUCAAAAUUAUUUUUUUAACACAUAAUGUGACUAGCACCUUAGACGGUCAUUUGCUUUGCAUAUAAUUUUCAAAUAAUAUAUAUAUAUAAUAUUAGGGGAGGGCAAUUUUAUUUUUCUAAUGAUUGUUUUCUUUGAUUGAAAAUAUUUUUUUUGAUUGAAGCAACUUUUGGGGGAUUGAAUGAUUUAGACACAAAUGUCCUACCCAUAAUAUGGCCUAAAUACAAAAAGGAUUGCUUCAAUCAAGGAAAACUUUUUCAAUGAAAAAUUAAGUGUUCAAAUGCAAAUUUUUCAAUCUCAAAUAUUUUUUCACAUCCAAAAACUUUUUUUUUUUUGAUUGAAGUGAUUUUUCUUUUUGAAAAUAUAUUUUUUUUUGAAGCAACUUAUUUUUGGAUUGAAUAAUAAAGACAAAAAUGUCCUAGCCAAAAUGUGGCCCAAACACAAAUCAUCAUAAUUUCAAUUAAAUUUUUUUUUUAAAAAGUUGCUUGAAUAAAAAAAAACUUCAAUCAAAAAAAACACAAAAAACAAAGAAAAAUAGCUUUCACAUGCAUUUUUUGUUUUUUUUUUUUGUUUUUUGAGUUUCAAAUUUAUUUUUUGCAUUCAAACACUAAUCAAUAAAACUGAAUGCAAACACUUCCAAAAUAAACCAUUACAACGUCACUUUAAUUAAACGAAUACUCGAAGAAACAAAAUUUAAUUUGAAUAUUUUUUUCUAAUCGAAUACUCGAGUUAAUCGAUUAAUCGUGGCAGCACUAAUAAAUAUAAUAAAUUGCCUUCGUUUUAUGGCUGGGUUGAAACAAAAGCUGUUGCGCGAUGUCUGUAAACCGGGGUUUCCCGGGUAAAACGGACAAAUUAAACAUAGUUCAGUGGCUUCAUGCGCCAUGAAUCUGCUAUGGCAGAAGAUAAACAUAUUGUUUUAUCAAACACAACAGUUCUUUUGGCUUAGAAUACAGCAGUUUAUUUUAGAGAGGGGCGCAAGAGCGGAAACUGCUUUUUCAGCCUUGUCUAUGUUUUCCGCCAUAUUUAAUUAAGUUGUAUGUUAGCAUUUACAGUGUACUAUUGAGUGAAGACCCCAGCCUCUUUGGACACCCUUCAGGUCCAUUUCCAGCUCUUUUGCCGGGGGUUUCCUGCCGGCUCGCGAUACACGCACACACACAUACCCCCCCUCUCCUCCCCUUCCUUCGUCUUCCCUCCUCUCGCUUUUUUUUCCUCAAUGGAUGUCCUCUCCCUAACCUCAAUUGAGAGCCGUGUAACAGGACACUCCCCUUGGCCUGCCCCCCUUUUUGUUUUUUCAUUUGAGGAGCCACGCUAUAAAGAGUGCUGGAGCGCUGAUCCCGAGUGUGUGUGUGUGUAUGCGUGAGAGAGUGAGAGAGCGUGUGUGUGUCGGGGGGCCGAGCAAGGGAGAUAGAAAGGAAACAUGUGAUAGCACUACUUGGGAGAGUUUUAACGGCUGCGACGUCUCCAGAGCGCUGGGAAAGCACCUUUAGCCCAGAGGGACACACACAUAGGAAUAUAUAGAUAUAUAUUUGUGUGUGUGUGUGUGUGUGUGUGUGUGUGUGUGUGUGUGUGUGUGUGUGUGUGUGUGUCACUGUGAGCCUGUUACUGAUUACACUCGGAAGAAUGCAACAGCAGGAAUAAAAGGCAGACGAGUGAAGAUUUUUUUUCUUUUUAAGAGAGCGUGUGUGAUUUGUCCAAGCAAGGACGUGGGUGAGAACUUGUUACCCAAUGGCGUCUCUUUUCUCUCUCUCUCUUUUUCUCUCUCCUCCUCCUCCUCUCUCACCCACUGAUGGACCAGGCAAAAGUUUAAAGAGUGACGCCGGAAUCACGCUCGGAGUCAGAGGAGCACGGGACAGCGCCGGGAAAUGGUGACGAGAUUGAAGAUGAAGCUGGGGUUGGCACGGUCAAGCGUUUCGCACAAGUUUCGCGAAGAGAACCAUUUGUUGGGCACCCACUACCACGAGAGAGACCGACUGGCCCUGGAGCGGCUCACCCCUUUUUUCGUACGGCGGCCGUCACUUGCUCAGUAGGCAGUGUAGAUCCUGUGUAGCAAUCAGCAGCUACAUCUGGCUACUGGGUCUCUGGCGGCUCGGCCCGCUUCCCUCCACGUUGGACUCGCCGCAUUCCGAGCCUCGCGAUGUCUGCGGGACGGGGCGUGGAGUUUCUCCAUCCUGUGACCCCUACAGACAGGAUGUUCUCUGUCACAACUCCACAAGGGGCCCUUGUCAAGGCUUUUGUGCUUUUCCUCCCACCACUCUUCUUUAAAGGCUUCCCGUUUGGCCGUCCAAAGAUCAUCGAUUUGCUUUGUCCUGAACCUGGCAUACAAUGUAGAUUUCUGUGUGCUACAAUUCUACAGCUACAUUGUCUGCUGGGUUUCUGGCUAGCAAUAUAAAUCGGUGGCCGAUUCGUGAACGUCGAUAAUAUUGCAAAGAAGGUAAGCCAGAGUUAAUAUUAUGUCAUCAUUCCUUGUUUGUUUUUAAAGCACUUCAAUAAAAAAAAAAGAACACCGCACUAUACUGACUGCUGCCUUUUUUUUGUCCAAGCAGUGGCACCUCCAGAAAGUUUUCAUAGGGGUGGCCAGAUGGCGCCAUAAUUUCAGGUUAUUAUGUUGUUGCAGUGAAAAGACCAGAAGAAAACUAUCAGAAAGACUUAAGGACACGCAUACUAAUAUACUUUGGUGUAUUGUGUUAUAUUUAAUUUUACUAAGUGCACACUCCAUAACAGUCCAGUCAACAUUUUGAGUUCCACAACAAUUCUGUUUUAAUGUGUUAUGUAUACACUGCUGGCCAAAAGUAUUGGCACCCCUGUAAUUCUGUCAGAUAAUGCUCAAUUUCUGCCAGAAAAUGAUUGCAAUUACAAAUGCUUUGGUAGUAAUAGCUUAAUUUAUUUUGCUUGCAAUGAAAAGAUACGAAAGAGAAUGAAAAAAAUGUUUUAAACAUUAUCAUUUUACACAAAACUCCAAAAAUGGGCCGGAAAAAAGCAUUGGCAACCUCAGCCUAAUACUUGGUAGCACAGCCUUUAGACAAAAUAACUGCGAACAGCCGCUUCCGGUAUCCAUCAAUGAGUUUCUUACAAUUUUAGAGCAUUCUUCUUUUGCCAGCUGUUCCAUGUCUCUGAGAUUUGAAGGGCUUCUCAAGUCCUCAGACAGUUCUUUGGUCUUCUUUCUUUUUUCCAUUCUCAAUGUGGUACACACAAGGACAGAGGUUGAGUCAACUUUAAUCCAUUUUAACUGGCUACACGUGUGAUCUAGUUAUUGCCACCACCUGUUAUGUGCCACAGGUAAGUAACAGGUGCUGUUAAUUAGAGAAGCAUCACAUGAUUUUUCAAAGGGUGCCAAGACUUUUGUCUGGCCGAUUUUGGGAGUUUUGUGUAAAAUGAUAAUGAUUUAAUUUUUUUCCCAUUCCCUUUUGGGUUUUUUUUCAUUGGAAGCAAAAUAAAGAUAUUACUACCAAAGCAUUUGUAAUAGCAAUCAUUUUCUGGUAGAAAUUGAGCAUUAUCUGGCAGAAUUGCAGAGGUGCCAAUACUUUUGGCCAGCAGUGUAUGCUCAUUCUAUGAGAUUGGUUUUUUUUUUUGUUUUUCCUUGUCUUUUUUUCUGCCAAAACUAUCAAUAUUAAAACAAUAGAAGGUUUGAACUACCAACUAACUUAACUUUAUCACAAUAUACAUUUUUUUUAGGACCAGCAUAUUUUAUGUGAACUGGUUGUUUUGUAUUGUAAUUUUGUAUUUUGUACAGUUCAAUAAAAAAAAAAAAAAAACGUGUUGGGGACGUUGCAACAACGCUCUGGUCGCACCAACUGUUCGGGUUGUUGUUUUUCUAUUGUGCCAAUAACGGACAAUUUACGUGAAUAAAUGUUCCAUUAUUUUAAAAAAGGACCAUACGAUAUCCGUUAGGGGUGUGACAAAAUAUCGAAAUGGUGAUAUAUCGUGAUGCUUUGUAUCCCAAAAGGUUAAAAAAUAUGUAUAUAUAUAAAAUAAAAAUUUAAAAAACGGAACCAACAAGUUUCUAUCAAAACCUUCAACUAUAAUAGUGUCUAAGUUAACUCUAUGGCUGCCAUUGAUGGCGCUCGACGCCCAAUCCAUUUAGACUGGGAGGGUCGAACGAACGUUCAUUCAUUCGAAACCAGUGCAUUCACAGUCACUCUUUCUGAUUUUCAGGCCAUUUACAAGUCAAUUUCUGUUCAUUUUAGUGCAUUUACAGGUCGCUUCCUGUUGCGUUUGAGUCACUGCCUAUUGAUUUGGGAGAUUCCUGGGCUACUUCCUGUUCCGUAACCCAAAAUCAACAGGAAGUGACUCAUAAAAUGCCACGAAAACAAACAGGGAGUGAUCAAAAUUAAUAAAGUAAUGAUCUGAAAUGCCCCAAUAUUACCUCGUCGCCUAGCAUUGGCAGCCACUGAUGGCCAUA
Molecule: long non-coding RNA, 30992 nt
Organism: Corythoichthys intestinalis (scribbled pipefish)
Lineage: Eukaryota; Metazoa; Chordata; Actinopteri; Syngnathiformes; Syngnathidae
Exons: 3
Source: RefSeq, a predicted model, not a curated record